Molecule: ribosomal RNA, 429 nt
Filed under: bacterium
Lineage: Bacteria
Description: partial 16S ribosomal RNA
Rfam family: Bacterial small subunit ribosomal RNA
Source: RNAcentral
UAGGGAAUCUUCGGCAAUGGGGGCAACCCUGACCGAGCAACGCCGCGUGAGUGAAGAAGGUUUUCGGAUCGUAAAGCUCUGUUGUAAGAGAAGAACGUGUGUGAGAGUGGAAAGUUCACACAGUGACGGUAACUUACCAGAAAGGGACGGCUAACUACGUGCCAGCAGCCGCGGUAAUACGUAGGUCCCGAGCGUUGUCCGGAUUUAUUGGGCGUAAAGCGAGCGCAGGCGUUUUAAUAAGUCUGAAGUUAAAGGCAGUGGCUUAACCAUUGUUCGCUUUGGAAACUGUUAAACUUGAGUGCAGAAGGGGAGAGUGGAAUUCCAUGUGUAGCGGUGAAAUGCGUAGAUAUAUGGAGGAACACCGGUGGCGAAAGCGGCUCUCUGGUCUGUAACUGACGCUGAGGCUCGAAAGCGUGGGGAGCAAACAGG